AAUAUUGCACAAUGGGCGCAAGCCUGAUGCAGCCAUGCCGCGUGUAUGAAGAAGGCCUUCGGGUUGUAAAGUACUUUCAGCAGUGAGGAAGGCGGGUACGUUAAUAGCGUGCUCGUUUGACGUUAGCUGCAGAAGAAGCACCGGCUAACUCCGUGCCAGCAGCCGCGGUAAUACGGAGGGUGCGAGCGUUAAUCGGAAUUACUGGGCGUAAAGCGCAUGCAGGUGGUUUGUUAAGUCAGAUGUGAAAGCCCGGGGCUCAACCUCGGAAUUGCAUUUGAAACUGGCAGACUAGAGUACUGUAGAGGGGGUAGAAUUUCAGGUGUAGCGGUGAAAAUGCGUAGAGAUCUGAAGGAAUACCGGUGGCGAAGGCGGCCCCCUGGACAGAUACUGACACUCAGAUGCGAAAGCGUGGGGAGCAAACAGGAUUAGAUACCCUGGUAG
Molecule: ribosomal RNA, 441 nt
Filed under: uncultured bacterium
Lineage: Bacteria
Description: bacterial SSU rRNA
Rfam family: Bacterial small subunit ribosomal RNA
Source: RNAcentral